Molecule: ribosomal RNA, 439 nt
Filed under: uncultured bacterium
Lineage: Bacteria
Description: partial 16S ribosomal RNA
Rfam family: Bacterial small subunit ribosomal RNA
Source: RNAcentral
CUACGGGGGGCUGCAGUGAGGAAUAUUGCACAAUGGGGGGAACCCUGAUGCAGCAACGCCGCGUGGAGGAUGACGCAUUUCCGUGUGUAAACUCCUUUUAUAUGUCAAGAAAAUGACGGUAGCAUAUGAAUAAGCACCGGCUAACUCCGUGCCAGCAGCCGCGGUAAUACGGAGGGUGCAAGCGUUACUCGGAAUCACUGGGCGUAAAGGACGCGUAGGCGGGUUGGAAAGUCAGGUGUGAAAUCCUACAGCUUAACUGUAGAACUGCACUUGAAACUUCUAAGCUAGAGUAUGGGAGGGGGAGAUGGAAUUAGUGGUGUAGGGGUAAAAUCCGUAGAUAUCACUAGGAAUACCUAAAGCGAAGGCGAUCUCCUGGAACAUUACUGACGCUAAGGCGUGAAAGCGUGGGGAGCAAACAGGAUUAGAUACCCCGGUAGUC